Molecule: long non-coding RNA, 1592 nt
Organism: Falco peregrinus (peregrine falcon)
Lineage: Eukaryota; Metazoa; Chordata; Aves; Falconiformes; Falconidae
Exons: 5
Source: RefSeq, a predicted model, not a curated record
UACUUCGUUGAAAAUGCAAAACAUACUUCUUGAAUAUGAACAGAGAAUAGAACGUCAGAAAAAUCAGUAUAAAACGCUCUCAAGAGAAGUAAGGAAAUUGGAAGAUGAAAGGGAGGAGUCACAGUUCAGAGCAGAGAAGACUCAAGAUUUGAAAUCCGUGUUGGCUCACCAAGAAGCAGAAUGGAAAAGGGAUAUCCAAAGCCUUAAGUUGAAGAGGAACGUGAUGAAACACAGAGACAGCUCUCUCAGGAAAAGAGUGCCAGAGCCCUUCAAGAAGGAAUUUUGAACAACCACCUUGGGAGACAAAUGGAACUAGAAGAAGAGACAAGAAGAUCUAUAGGAAAAAAAUCAGAGGAAUCCAGCACUGAUAGAGAACAGGAUCUGUUGUACAAGAAUCAGUUACUACAAGAUGAGAUUGCUAUGCUAAGGCUAGAACUCACUCAGGUAAGACUUAGGCACCAGGAGGAACAAGGAAAAUAUUUAAAGGAAAAUGAGACCUUGAAAGAAAAAAAUGAAGCUCUCAAAAAGGAACUUAAACUGAACAAGGAAGCAUUAAGACAAAUGUUUUUUCAGUUCAACGCGGAGCUGGACUUACUGAAGACAGAAUCUGCAGUGCUGACUUCCAAACUUGAGCAGACAAACAAAAGCAAAGACAGACUAGAGACAGAAAUUGAAUCAUUUUGUUCCUCCCUGAAUGCUGCAGUUCAAGAACUUGAACUUCAUUUGUCAUCUAAAAGCAAUGCUGAACGAAGAUUUCCCAGAGAACGUGAUGAAUGCCUUUGCUUGCAAGUCGAGCUCCAUCAUGACCUCUCUGACGUGCAAGAAACCAACAAGAGCUUGUCUCUGCAGCUGUGUAAAGCUAAAAGCAAAGCUAAUAGGCUAGAAAAUGAGCUUCACCAGUUGAAGCAAAUGCUCAGAGAAAAAGCUUUGCUUUUAGAAAUGACAAAAAAGAAUUAAGUCAAGGCCAGUGUCGGGCAAAGGAAUGUGAUCAUGCUCGACAACUUGAGAAAGAUCCAGUAAGCAAACUUGUAAUAAAACAGGAGUCCUUGCAGGAGCGAUUGGCCCAGCUCCAGAGUGAAAACUUUUUUACUCCAUCAGCAAUGGGAAGAGAUGCAGAACAAGAGGAUCAUGAAAGAAAAAAUAGUGGAUUAUGUGCAGGACUGGUUUAAUGACAUUUUCAACAAACUUAGAGCUGAUACAGAAAAGCAAGUUUAUCUAAUAGGAGAGCGAAACAAGGAUUUCAAUGCCAAGUGUACUGAUUUAAGGGAACAAGUCUUUAAAUAUGAGACUGACGUAGUAGAAAGACAGGGCAUGUUUGGACAACUGCAGCAGGAGCUUGCUGAUGCACCUAAAAAGCAAUCUAUGCCAGAAGCUUCACUUGAAGUUACUACACGCUACCACAGUGACCUGGAGGAAGACAAGCUGCGCUUGCAAAAGGAGUUGGAAAAAAAAGUUGAAAACUAAGACGCAGAAGCAGAACAUGCUGGCUCUGACAUCCAAGGACUUGCACAGCACGCGGGAGGAGCACUUGAAGUCAAGAUCCCACCUUGAAGAGCGCGUUGCUCAGCUGGACGAGGAGAAGGAUGAACUGU